RNAcentral lists this ribosomal RNA (403 nucleotides) under uncultured bacterium. Its description in RNAcentral is "bacterial SSU rRNA". It matches the Rfam family "Bacterial small subunit ribosomal RNA", at positions 362 to 758 of the family's 1533-position model. The record is from RNAcentral.
UUUUGGACAAUGGGGGAAACCCUGAUCCAGCCAUCCCGCGUGUGCGAUGAAGGCCUUCGGGUUGUAAAGCACUUUUGGCAGGAAAGAAAUCGCAUAGGUUAAUAACCUGUGUGGAUGACGGUACCUGCAGAAUAAGCACCGGCUAACUACGUGCCAGCAGCCGCGGUAAUACGUAGGGUGCAAGCGUUAAUCGGAAUUACUGGGCGUAAAGCGUGCGCAGGCGGUUCGGAAAGAAAGAUGUGAAAUCCCAGGGCUUAACCUUGGAACUGCAUUUUUAACUCCCGAGCUAGAGUAUGUCAGAGGGGGGUGGAAUUCCGCGUGUAGCAGUGAAAUGCGUAGAUAUGCGGAGGAACACCGAUGGCGAAGGCAGCCCCCUGGGAUAAUACUGACGCUCAGCACGAAA